Molecule: ribosomal RNA, 325 nt
Filed under: uncultured eukaryote
Lineage: Eukaryota
Description: partial 18S ribosomal RNA
Rfam family: Eukaryotic small subunit ribosomal RNA
Source: RNAcentral
CCCUUAGAUGUCCUGGGCCGCACGCGCGCUACACUGAUGCAUUCAACGAGUUCUACCUUGGCCGAGAGGCCUGGGCAAUCUUUUGAACCUGUAUCGUGAUAGGGAUAGAUUAUUGCAAUUAUUAAUCUUGAACGAGGAAUUCCUAGUAAACGCAGAUCAUCAAUCUGCAUUGAUUACGUCCCUGCCCUUUGUACACACCGCCCGUCGCACCUACCGAUUGAAUGGUCCGGUGAAGCCUCGGGAUUGUGGCGAGUUCCCUUUAUUGGGAGUUUGUCGCGAGAACUUGUCUAAACCUUAUCAUUUAGAGGAAGGUGAAGUCGUAACA